GAUGAAGAACGUAGCGAAAUGCGAUAAGUAAUGUGAAUUGCAGAAUUCAGUGAAUCAUCGAAUCUUUGAACGCACAUUGCGCCCGCCAGUAUUCUGGCGGGCAUGCCUGUUCGAGCGUCAUUACAACCCUCAGGCCCCCGGGCCUGGCGUUGGGGAUCUGCGGAGCCCCCCGUGGGCACACGCCGUCCCCCAAAUACAGUGGCGGUCCCGCCGCAGCUUCCAUCGCGUAGUAGCUAACACCUCGCGACUGGAGAGCGGCGCGGCCACGCCGUAAAACACCCAACUCUUCUGAAGUUGACCUCGAAUCAGGUAGGAAUACCCGCUGAACUUAAGCAUAUCAAUAAGCGGAGGA
RNAcentral lists this unclassified non-coding RNA (352 nucleotides) under soil metagenome. RNAcentral's name for it is "partial contains 5.8S ribosomal RNA, internal transcribed spacer 2, and large subunit ribosomal RNA". The stretch from base 1 to 120 matches the Rfam family "5.8S ribosomal RNA", at positions 35 to 154 of the family's 154-position model. The record is from RNAcentral.